This 2701-nucleotide long non-coding RNA is filed under the name Phasianus colchicus (ring-necked pheasant). Its description in RNAcentral is "lncRNA (ENSPCLG00000017671.1)". Lineage: Eukaryota; Metazoa; Chordata; Aves; Galliformes; Phasianidae. The record is from RNAcentral.
ACCCCAAAAUGUCCCAUAAAUGUGUCCCCAAAGUGUCCCCAAAAUGUGACCCCAAAAUGUGACCCCAAAUGUCCCCAAAUUGUCCCAAACUGUCCCCAAAAUGUGACCCCAAAAUUGUGUCCCUGAAGUGACCCCAAAAUGUCCCAUAAAUGUGUCCCCAAACUGUCCCCAAAAUUGUGACCCCAAGUGUCCCCAAAUUGACCCCAUAUGUCCCCAAAAUGUGACCCCAAAAAUGUGUCCCCAAAUGUCCCCAUAAGUGUGUCCCCAAAAUGUGUCCCCAAAGGGACCUUUGAGAGCUGUGUCCCAAAAUGUCCCCAAAAUUGUGUCCCCAAAUUGUCCCAAAAUGUGACCCCAAAUGUCCCCAAAAUGUGACCCCAAAUGUCCCCAAAAUGUGUCCCCAAAGUGUGUCCCCAAAGUGCCCCAAAGUGUGACCCCAAAUGUCCCCAAAGUGACACGGGGACAUUGGAUGGGGACACUGGGAUAUGGGGUAUGGGGACAUCAUUGGGAUAUGGGGACAUUGGGGUAUGGGGACAUUGGCUAUGGGAUUUGGGGACACUGGGAUAUGGGAUGGGGACAUCACUGGGAUAUUGGGGUAUGGGGACAUUGGGAUAUGGGAUGGGGACAUGGGGACAUCGGGAUGGGGACAUCAUUGGGACAUUGGGAUAUGGGGACAUUGGGAUAUGGGGACAUUGGGAUAUGGGGACAUUGGGUGGGGGCACCAUUGGGAUUUGGGAUGGGGAGACAUGGGAUAUGGGGNNNNNNNNNNNNNNNNNNNNNNNNNNNNNNNNNNNNNNNNNNNNNNNNNNNNNNNNNNNNNNNNNNNNNNNNNNNNNNNNNNNNNNNNNNNNNNNUUGAAUGGGGACAUCGGGCUAUGGGAUUUGGGGACAUUGGGAUAUGGGAUGGGGACAUGGGGACAUUGGGAUGGGGACAUCAUUGGGACAUUGGGAUAUGGGGACAUUGGGGUAUUGGGGACAUUGGGUGGGGACAUCAUUGGGAUUUGGGGACAUGGGGAUAUGGGGACAUUGGGAUAUGGGAUGGGGACAUCUUUAGGAUAUGGGAUGGGGACAUGGGGACAUCGGGGUGGGGACUUUUGGUUACGGGGACAUUGGCUGGGGACAUUGGGAUGGGGACAUCAUUGGGAUAUGGGAUGGGAACACGGGGAUAUGGGGACGUCAUUGGGAUUUGGGGACAUUAUUGGGAUAUGGGGACAUUGGGAUAUGGGGACAUUAUUGGGAUUUGGGGACGUCACUGGGAUUUGGGGACAUUGGGAUAUGGGGACAUCAUUGGGAUUUGGGGACAUCACUGGGAUUUGGAGAUGUCAUUGGGAUUUGGGGACAUUGGGAUAUGGGGACAUCAUUGGGAUUUGGGGACAUCAUUGGGAUUUGGGGACGUCAUUGGGAUAUGGGGACAUUGGGAUAUGGGGACAUUAUUGGGAUAUGGGGAUAUUGGGAUAUGGAGACAUCAGUGGGAUUUGGGGACAUCAUUGGGAUUUGGGGACGUCAUUGGGAUUUGGGGACAUUAUUGGGAUUUGGGGACAUUGGGAUAUGGGGACAUCAGUGGGAUUUGGGGACAUCAUUGGGAUAUGGGGACAUUAUUGGGAUAUGGGGACAUUGGGAUAUGGGGACAUUAUUGGGAUUUGGGGACGUCAUUGGGAUUUGGGGACAUCACUGGGAUAUGGGGACAUCAUUGGGAUUUGGGGACGUCAUUGGGAUUUGGGGACAUCACUGGGAUUUGGGGGCAUUAUUGGGAUAUGGGGACGUCAUUGGGAUUUUGGGGCAUCACUGGGAUUUGGGGACACGGGGACAGGAAGGGGACAAACUGGGGUGGCUGACGGGUGGGUGGUGCUGGCGGUGCCAUCAUGUCGGCGCCGUCCCCCCCCCGGAUCCCCCGGCCAACAGCAGAGGGAGGAGAGCAGGGGUGGCACCAGUGUCACCGUUGUCACCGUUGUUGUGACCCUCGUUGUCACCGUCGUCGUCACCGUCAUCGUCACCGUCCCGUGCCGGGCGCAGCACGCGGUUGUGCAGACGGCUGUAGCGGCGUGCGCACAGACUGCGGGGUGACAACGGGUGACACCAUUGGGUGACACCACUGGGUGACACCUCCGGGUGACAGCUCUGGGUGACACAAUGGGUGACAGCAUUGGGUGACGCCGUUGAGUGACACCUCUGGGUGACACCACUGGGUGACAACUCCGGGUGACAGCACUGGGUGAUGCCAUUGGGUGACACAAUGGGUGACACCAUUGGGUGAUACCAUUGGGUGACACCACUGGGUGACACUGUUUCAUGACAACUCCAGGUGACACCACUGAGUGACAACUCUGGGUGACACCAUUGGGUGAUGCCAUUGGGUGACACAAUGGGUGACACCUCUGGGUGACACCAUUGAGUGACACCUCUGACUGACAUCACUGGGUGACGCCAUUGGGUGACACAAUGGGUGACACCACUGGGUGACAGCUCUGGGUGACAGCACUGGGUGACACCAUUGGGUGGCAAAAUGGGUGACAUCUCUGGGUGACACCACUGGGUGACACAAUGGUGACAUCGUUGGGUGACGCCAUUGGGUGACGCUUCUGAGUGACACCACUGGGUGACACCACCAGGUGAUGGCCCUGUCCCAGUCCUCCCAGUUCUCCCAGUUCAUCCCAGUCCUCCCAAUCCUCCCAGUCCAUCCCAGUCCCUCCCAGUCCAGCCCAGUC